UACAGAGGGGGCGAGCGUUGUUCGGAAUUACUGGGCGUAAAGGGCGCGUAGGCGGCCUCUUAAGUCGGACGUGAAAUCCCCGGGCUCAACCCGGGAACUGCGUCCGAUACUGGGAGGCUUGAAUCCGGGAGAGGGAUGUGGAAUUCCAGGUGUAGCGGUGAAAUGCGUAGAUAUCUGGAGGAACACCGGUGGCGAAGGCGGCAUCCUGGACCGGUAUUGACGCUGAGGCGCGAAAGCCAGGGGAGCAAACGGG
RNAcentral lists this ribosomal RNA (253 nucleotides) under uncultured bacterium. Its description in RNAcentral is "partial 16S ribosomal RNA". It matches the Rfam family "Bacterial small subunit ribosomal RNA", at positions 524 to 776 of the family's 1533-position model. The record is from RNAcentral.